Molecule: ribosomal RNA, 661 nt
Filed under: uncultured bacterium
Lineage: Bacteria
Description: bacterial SSU rRNA
Rfam family: Bacterial small subunit ribosomal RNA
Source: RNAcentral
AUAACCGGCGGAAACGGCGACUAAUACCCCAUAUGCUGCGAUGCUGCAUGGCAUUGCAAUGAAAGAUUCAUCGGUGGCGGAUAGGCUCGCGGGACAUUAGCUAGACGGCGGGGCAACGGCCCACCGUGGCGACGAUGUCUAGGGGUUCUGAGAGGAAGACCCCCCACACUGGGACUGAGACACGGCCCAGACUCCUACGGGAGGCAGCAGUGAGGAAUAUUGGUCAAUGGGCGGAAGCCUGAACCAGCCAUGCCGCGCGAAGGACUAAGGCCCUACGGGUCGUAAACUUCUUUAGACGCAGAGCAAUAAGGUCCACGAGUGGACCGAUGAGAGUAUGCGUAGAAUAAGCAUCGGCUAACUCCGUGCCAGCAGCCGCGGUAAUACGGGGGAUGCGAGCGUUAUCCGGAUUCAUUGGGUUUAAAGGGUGCGUAGGCGGCCGAGUAAGUCAGCGGUGAAAGACCGGGGCUCAACCCUGGAAGUGCCGUUGAUACUGUUUGGCUGGAAUGAUCCCGCCGCGGGAGGAAUGAGUGGUGUAGCGGUGAAAUGCAUAGAUAUCACUCAGAACACCGAUUGCGAAGGCAUCUCGCGAGGGGUCAAUUGACGCUGAGGCACGAAAGCGUGGGGAUCGAACAGGAUUAGAUACCCUGGUAGUCCACGCGGU